Molecule: non-coding RNA, 31 nt
Filed under: Rattus norvegicus (Norway rat)
Lineage: Eukaryota; Metazoa; Chordata; Mammalia; Rodentia; Muridae
Source: RNAcentral
UCCUGAUAUCAAAGCACUUUUGUAUCUGAGC